UACAGAGGGGGCAAGCGUUGUCCGGAAUCAUUGGGCGUAAAGCGCGCGUAGGCGGCCCUGUAAGUCCGUUGUGAAAGUCGAAGGCUCAACCUUCGAAAGCCGAUGGAUACUGCAGGGCUAGAGUCCGGAAGAGGCGAGUGGAAUUCCUGGUGUAGCGGUGGAAUGCGCAGAUAUCAGGAGGAACACCAAUAGCGAAGGCAGCUCGCUGGGACGGUACUGACGCUAAGGCGCGAAGGCCAGGGGAGCAAACGGG
RNAcentral lists this ribosomal RNA (253 nucleotides) under uncultured bacterium. Its description in RNAcentral is "partial 16S ribosomal RNA". It matches the Rfam family "Bacterial small subunit ribosomal RNA", at positions 524 to 776 of the family's 1533-position model. The record is from RNAcentral.